RNAcentral lists this transfer RNA (72 nucleotides) under Priapulus caudatus. Its description in RNAcentral is "tRNA-Gly". It matches the Rfam family "tRNA". Rfam says of the family: Transfer RNA (tRNA) molecules are approximately 80 nucleotides in length. Their secondary structure includes four short double-helical elements and three loops (D, anti-codon, and T loops). Lineage: Eukaryota; Metazoa; Priapulida; Priapulimorpha; Priapulimorphida; Priapulidae. The record is from RNAcentral.
GCGUCGGUGGUAUAACGGUUAGCAUAGCUGCCUUCCAAGCAGUUGACCCGGGUUCGACUCCCGUCCGACGCA